GAGAGACGAAACAGUGAUGUGGAGUAAAACUUAUAAAAGCGACCUCAGUUCGGAUUGAAGGCUGAAAUUCGCCUUCAUGAAGUCGGAAUUGCUAGUAAUGGCAGGUCAGCAUACUGCCGUGAAUACGUUCCCGGGCCUUGUACACACCGCCCGUCACACCAUGAGAGUUGGAGAUACCCGAAGCCUAUGAGCUAACUUUUAGAGGCAGUAGUCGAAGGUAGAAUCAAUGAUUGGGGUGAAGUCGUAACAAGGUACC
This 256-nucleotide ribosomal RNA is filed under the name uncultured bacterium. Its description in RNAcentral is "partial 16S ribosomal RNA". It matches the Rfam family "Bacterial small subunit ribosomal RNA", at positions 1244 to 1500 of the family's 1533-position model. The record is from RNAcentral.